AGUAACGCGUGGGUAACCUGCCUCAUACAGGGGAGUAACAGUUAGAAAUGACUGCUAAUACCGCAUAGGCGCACAGUGCUGCAUGGCACAGUGUGAAAAACUCCGGUGGUAUGAGAUGGACCCGCGUCUGAUUAGCUAGUUGGUGGGGUAACGGCCUACCAAGGCGACGAUCAGUAGCCGGCCUGAGAGGGUGAACGGCCACAUUGGGACUGAGACACGGCCCAA
RNAcentral lists this ribosomal RNA (225 nucleotides) under uncultured bacterium. RNAcentral's name for it is "partial 16S ribosomal RNA". It matches the Rfam family "Bacterial small subunit ribosomal RNA", at positions 109 to 334 of the family's 1533-position model. The record is from RNAcentral.